AAUAGUUAGGGUUUGUGUGUGUUUUGUCGCAUAUUGAGGUUUCAUCGCUGGAGAAGACGUUGGUGGCUUCCGCACGCUACCGUUUCUCUGGCAAAGAUGAAUCAGAGAGGAGUUUGUUUACAGAGCAUUUAUUUUGAGUUUUGUUUUUUUUAAAGGAAAAUCUUGGUUUGAAGGGCAGGUUGUGUCGUUUUGUUUCAUUUGAUUUAAUGAAGGCUGGUUGGCUUGACACGGUGGUGACAAGUGUCU
RNAcentral lists this long non-coding RNA (246 nucleotides) under Lathyrus oleraceus (garden pea). RNAcentral's name for it is "Pisum sativum (pea) long non-coding RNA (PSAT_LNC004861)". The record is from RNAcentral. Lineage: Eukaryota; Viridiplantae; Streptophyta; Magnoliopsida; Fabales; Fabaceae.